UUUCUUGUCUCCAUAAUAUUUUUUUAGCUAUCCACGGGAACAUUUUGGUUGUUGCUCAGAUGACUUCUAAGUUAUUUUUGUAGUUUCUGAACAGUAUGUUCAUCUAAUCUUUACAAUGCCUAGUUCUGGUAGCAGUAUAAGAUGUUUGCUUACAUUAAGCAAUACUUAUAAUAUACACAAUUUUUUCCUCAAAGUUUAUCCCAAAUAUUAGUGAUAUACAUUUUGUUUAUAUGAAGAAUCGAUGGAGUUUGCUUUAGAAGGUAUUGAAAAUGCUUAUUAAAAGCUUCUACAACCUAUUCUACAUCAAUAUCUGAUUUAAAUGUUAUAAGCUCGCUUUUGCCUGAAGGCAUUUCCCCUACUAUAUAUAUGAAACAAUCCAUGUAUAAUUAAUGAGAAGCAGUUAGCUGUUAUAUGACAUGUCAGACAUGGCGUCUUUGGGAGGUCUGUGAAGUUUUCGUUAAUGCAGUAUGUAUACAAUCUAUGAUGACAAUUUAUGUCGAUUGCUGCAUGAUUAUUUGUGACGCUGCUUAUUUUCCAUCUCGACAGUACUGAUUAGUUAUAUUUAUUUACUAAGUGUAGAUUGUUUUGUUGUCAUCCAAAGCCACUUCGUGCAUCUGAACAUUCUUUUACUGAAUAUAUAUAAUAUUUAUCUCCAUUAUUAACUAAUAAGAUACUUAUGUUGAAAAAAAAUUAUGUUUCAUGUGUGAGCAUCCAUAUAUUUAUUGCACAAAAACACGGGUGCGGCAACGCGCACCGUCAAUGAUCUAGUACAAUUAUAACUUAUGGUACAAGGUUCAUGUAAAAGAUAUUGCCGGGUGACUGAAAACAGGUGCAAGAAUAUAUGUACAAAAGGUUCAUAUAUAACCUUUUAGAUUAGAGAUAGUAGAAAACUAAUAAUAUGCUCAAAAUGAAGGCUUGAUUUGCACCUCAAAUAGUUUGUAGUUGUAAGCAUAGUUCACAUUGUCUUAAUCAGCAUGUAAUACACUGAGUUCAGUCAGUAAUGAAGCAAUACACAUCUAACAUAUAAAGCCUCCUAGAGUACCCGCUAUUCUAGCGCCAUCGCGGACUCGGAUGAAUCCGGUGCGCACAUUCUACCCUGCACUGUACCUGUUUGGUCCUUUUAAUCUUGCUGUCAAACAUCCUGACGUCCGUUUUUCUGUACGUUGGUUGCUUGAGUUAGACCGAAUGACGGCUGGGCCACUCUUGUGCGCGGGGCCAGCAAUUCAGCUUCUACUGCGGCUGUCGCGCGCGUGCGCUAGCGGUGAACGUGGGUGGCAGGGUGCGGGGUGGGAUGAAUAUUUUUUACCGUCCUGGCCUAGACCCGGCUGCGACUCCUCUGUUUCAGCCAUGAUGGGCCCAACUGUCGGUCUUUUGGGUGGCCAGUUGUUGGUUGGUUGGUUCCUUCCGUGCAAAGCGAUAGGCUAGGGAUCGCGUGCCUGCUGACCAGGCGAGACUUGGGUGGGUGGAUGGUGCGUCGCUGCUUUUUUACCCGCCGUGUCUAUACCCAGCUGUGUUGGUGGCCCCUGCUUCGGGGUGGUCCCGUAUGGCAGUGUUUUGGGUGUUUGGGAGGUGUGCGCUUGCUUGUGUUGCCUGCCACGGACCGUGCGACGCGGCGUGGGAUGGGUCACGUGGGGUGCAAUUCUGCUUUUCUACUCGCUCUUCAUCUACCUAGCUGUUUCGGUGUCCCUCUGCUCUUUUGGUCCCACAUGUAAAUGUAAUGGGUGGCUCGUUCUGGGUGAGGGAGAGUCGUAGAGACAUUUCUUUCCAGGAAAGAUGGUCCUCCUCUCCCCACGUUCUCGGUACCGGGGUGGGUGGGUCAUGAGUGCACGUUCCCCGCUUCACUCCCCUCUCCCUCCUCUUUGAUUCCCCAUCCACCGCCGCCUCCUCUCAUGCCUCACCGCCGGCCUCCUCUAUGCCUCUUCCUCUACCUCUCGGACGACGCCUAGCUACGGCGCUCAAUGGCCGCCCGUGCGACAUCCUGCAUCUGGCGCAGGAGCGUGUGGUGGUGACGAGCCGAGCCGUCUUUGUGGCGGCGUCCGGACGGGGCCGGGCGCAAGGCGGAGCUGCGGCCGGCGACCCGGCACCGGCGCAUGCCCGGCGGUGGGACCAUCUUCGCCGUGGCCGGUGGGGGGUUGGGCGGCAGCAAGCGGUGCAGCGAGGGGAGGCGCACGGGCGAGAGGGGUGGGGCUCUUGCUAGCCGCUCUCCCGUUCCCGUUGGUUUCUUGCCGCCACGGUGGCGUUUCUCAGAUCGAGAUGGAUGGCGCGAUGACGACCAUGGCACAGGUCGACUUGGGAGCGCAUCCAGCAUCCCGGUGGCAUGGUCGUGAUGUGAUCCACCCUGUGAAGAGGGUAAUUUCUGCUUGUGAUUUGGGCAAGGAUCUGGGUGCUCUUCGUUUGCUCACCGUGUUUGUUCCUAGGUUAGCACCGCUGUUGUCAGCGGGUAGAAUGGUCGACUGGCCAUGGAGCCCUCUGCGAGCAGGUGAGCUUAAUUUCUAGGGGUAUGAGGUGAUUCUGGUCACCUCCGGCGCCGUCGGCGUCGGGAGGUAGAGGCUCAUGUACCGUAAGCUCAUCGACAGCAGUUUCGCUGAUCUGCAGAACCCACAGUUCGACCUGGAUGGGAAGGCCUACGCUGCCGUCGGCCAGAGUGGCCUCAUGGCUAUCUACGAUACACUGCUUAGCCAAGUUGUUCGUCGUCUGUGUUGUUAGCCAGCAAGUCUGUGUCGUUAGCCAGCAAGUUGGGUAAUUCUUCUGUUGCUUCACGGAUUUUCCUGCACGUUGUGUCUGUAUUAUUGUCACUGAAGAUAUACCUCAACUGAAGAUCUAGCUCGCGACGAUGAUGUACCUAAGGCUCGGAUGCAAGGUGCGAGUCAACAAUGCCAGUAGUGAGUCGAGAGAAGUGGAGAAGAGGGUCCCUCCAGGCUCCAUACAUGAAUGGUGUAUGUCGAAUGUCUCGGAUAACUACUUCAGGUUAGGCAAGAGAAAUAAAAAGGGUAACCAUAGAUAUAUGGUCUAGCAUCACGAGGUUCAGGUUCCUGCUGUUGAUCAACCGUUGCUUCAGUCGAGAGAUUAAAGAAGACUGAAAUAUGGGCUCAAGCGAUUGCUAUGUCCGACCUGCACAAGAAUGCCAAGAAGUCUUUCUCGGAGAUGAUUAAGGACAUGUACCUGCACUACAACGAGAGAUCUGGGCUGCUUCUUUGUGGCUUCCAAACUUGAAAUGUUUGUUUGGAAGUUAGUUUAGUUUUUUGUUUUGGAUUCACAGCUUCUCACAUGCACCAUCCUCUUAGACCUUUAGAUUUCCAAAGAAACUAAAUGAAGAUAUGGUGGUAUGGUCUCAAUAGUUUAACUUAAAUCUUUCUAUGCUUUAUAUUUGCUCUGAAAUUUGCUCUCGAAGAAUCAUGUAUCUAUGUUAGAUCCCGUGAGCUUUAUAUUUGCUCUGAAAUUUGUUCUUGAAGCAUCAUGUAUUUGUGUUA
Molecule: long non-coding RNA, 3470 nt
Organism: Triticum dicoccoides
Lineage: Eukaryota; Viridiplantae; Streptophyta; Magnoliopsida; Poales; Poaceae
Exons: 11
Source: RefSeq, a predicted model, not a curated record